AGAAUAAGCCAUCGGGGAGGGAGGCUGUGACGUGAGAGGGAUGAGAGGAAGACUAUUUUAGGAAUUUAUCGCCUUGGAACGCCUGGAAUCAUGGAACUGGCGGUGGGAACAGGAAUGGGAAUGUCGAAAGGUCCUGACCCCGGUAUCUGGAGGUGUGGUGAAGGAGGGUCACCACAGGCAGGUCAAGUGAGCUCGCCUUCUGUCUUGUGAGGAUGAAAUGAUUGAUAUCUCCGGGUAGUCUCCAGUGAGCCAGCAGCAUCCUCUGUCACAAGUCUUCCUGCACAUUCAGAUGUCCCCUGUCACCCCUGUCGUCUGCAAGAUCAGAACCCAAAGUGAGCGUUGGCUGACGCACAUCAGGCACCACACCACCAACAGCCAGUCAGUAGCGUCCUCACCUGCCUUGCUAGGGGUGGAGUUCUUGCUGUGGGGAGUGCAGCGGAGGUGAAUGGACUAGACUAUCCUGUGCUGUAUGUGAAGGUUUGAAACUAGAUGCUUAAGUACCUAUUAUAUAAAAUGCAGUUACUGUAAACUUAACAAAUUUUUUACUGUAGGGCAGAUAAGUGAAUAAAUCAAAGCAAUAACAGUAGCAAAACUUUGUCUAAAUCAUUAAAACCUUCUUAAGCAUAUA
Long non-coding RNA from Eriocheir sinensis (Chinese mitten crab), 628 nucleotides. RefSeq lists it as uncharacterized. Lineage: Eukaryota; Metazoa; Arthropoda; Malacostraca; Decapoda; Varunidae. The transcript is spliced from 4 exons. The record is from RefSeq and is a predicted model, not a curated record.